RNAcentral lists this ribosomal RNA (771 nucleotides) under uncultured bacterium. RNAcentral describes it as "bacterial SSU rRNA". It matches the Rfam family "Bacterial small subunit ribosomal RNA", at positions 8 to 796 of the family's 1533-position model. The record is from RNAcentral.
AGAGUUUGAUCCUGGCUCAGAACGAACGCUGGCGGCGUGCUUAACACAUGCAAGUCGAACGGAAAGGCCCUUCGGGGUACUCGAGUGGCGAACGGGUGAGUAACACGUGGGUGAUCUGCCCUGCACUUUGGGAUAAGCCUGGGAAACUGGGUCUAAUACCGAAUAUGACCAUGCGCCUCCUGGUGUGUGGUGGAAAGCUUUUGCGGUGUGGGAUGGGCCCGCGGCCUAUCAGCUUGUUGGUGGGGUAAUGGCCUACCAAGGCGACGACGGGUAGCCGGCCUGAGAGGGUGACCGGCCACACUGGGACUGAGAUACGGCCCAGACUCCUACGGGAGGCAGCAGUGGGGAAUAUUGCACAAUGGGCGCAAGCCUGAUGCAGCGACGCCGCGUGAGGGAUGACGGCCUUCGGGUUGUAAACCUCUUUCAGCACAGACGAAGCGCAAGUGACGGUAUGUGCAGAAGAAGGACCGGCCAACUACGUGCCAGCAGCCGCGGUAAUACGUAGGGUCCGAGCGUUGUCCGGAAUUACUGGGCGUAAAGAGCUCGUAGGUGGUUUGUCGCGUUGUUCGUGAAAACUCACAGCUUAACUGUGGGCGUGCGGGCGAUACGGGCAGACUUGAGUACUGCAGGGGAGACUGGAAUUCCUGGUGUAGCGGUGGAAUGCGCAGAUAUCAGGAGGAACACCGGUGGCGAAGGCGGGUCUCUGGGCAGUAACUGACGCUGAGGAGCGAAAGCGUGGGGAGCGAACAGGAUUAGAUACCCUGGUAGUCC